CUACGGGGGGCUCCAGUGAGGAAUAUUGCACAAUGGGGGGAACCCUGAUGCAGCAACGCCGCGUGGAGGAUGACGCAUUUCGGUGUGUAAACUCCUUUUAUAUGUCAAGAAAAUGACGGUAGCAUAUGAAUAAGCACCGGCUAACUCCGUGCCAGCAGCCGCGGUAAUACGGAGGGUGCAAGCGUUACUCGGAAUCACUGGGCGUAAAGGACACGUAGGCGGGUUGGAAAGUCAGGUGUGAAAUCCUACAGCUUAACUGUAGAACUGCACUUGAAACUUCUAAUCUAGAGUAUGGGAGGGGGAGAUGGAAUUAGUGGUGUAGGGGUAAAAUCCGUAGAUAUCACUAGGAAUACCUAAAGCGAAGGCGAUCUCCUGGAACAUUACUGACGCUAAGGCAUGAAAGCGUGGGGAGCAAACAGGAUUAGAUACCCGAGUAGUC
This 439-nucleotide ribosomal RNA is filed under the name uncultured bacterium. RNAcentral's name for it is "partial 16S ribosomal RNA". It matches the Rfam family "Bacterial small subunit ribosomal RNA", at positions 339 to 795 of the family's 1533-position model. The record is from RNAcentral.